This 64-nucleotide transfer RNA is filed under the name Chloracris brunneri. RNAcentral's name for it is "tRNA-Pro". Lineage: Eukaryota; Metazoa; Arthropoda; Insecta; Orthoptera; Tettigoniidae. The record is from RNAcentral.
CAGGAGGUAGUUUAUAAUUAAAAUACUAGUUUUGGGUAUUAGUGAAAAAGAGUUUUUCUUCUGA